This 65-nucleotide transfer RNA is filed under the name Dipodomys ordii (Ord's kangaroo rat). It matches the Rfam family "tRNA". From Rfam's summary of the family: Transfer RNA (tRNA) molecules are approximately 80 nucleotides in length. Lineage: Eukaryota; Metazoa; Chordata; Mammalia; Rodentia; Heteromyidae. The record is from Rfam by way of RNAcentral.
GGUGGCUCAGUGGUAGAGCACUUGCCUUGCAUGCAUGAGGCCCUGAGUUUGAUUCCUCAGUACCA